Molecule: ribosomal RNA, 492 nt
Filed under: uncultured bacterium
Lineage: Bacteria
Description: partial 16S ribosomal RNA
Rfam family: Bacterial small subunit ribosomal RNA
Source: RNAcentral
AGUGAACGCUGGCGGUAGGCCUAACACAUGCAAGUCGAACGGCAGCACAGUAAGAGCUUGCUCUUACGGGUGGCGAGUGGCGGACGGGUGAGGAAUACAUCGGAAUCUACUUUUUCGUGGGGGAUAACGUAGGGAAACUUACGCUAAUACCGCAUACGACCUACGGGUGAAAGCAGGGGAUCUUCGGACCUUGCGCGAUUGAAUGAGCCGAUGUCGGAUUAGCUAGUUGGCGGGGUAAAGGCCCACCAAGGCGACGAUCCGUAGCUGGUCUGAGAGGAUGAUCAGCCACACUGGAAGUGAGACACGGUCCAGACUCCUACGGGAGGGAGCAGAGGGGAAUAUUGGACAAUGGGCGCAAGCCUGAUCCAGCCAUACCGCGUGGGUGAAGAAGGCCUUCGGGUUGUAAAGCCCUUUUGUUGGGAGAGAAAAGCAGCAGGUUAAUACCCCGCUGUUCUGACGGUACCCAAAGAAUAAGCACCGGCUAACUUCGUG